Molecule: ribosomal RNA, 464 nt
Filed under: uncultured bacterium
Lineage: Bacteria
Description: bacterial SSU rRNA
Rfam family: Bacterial small subunit ribosomal RNA
Source: RNAcentral
GACGAACGCUGGCGGCGUGCCUAACACAUGCAAGUCGAACGGGGUGAGAUCCUUCGGGGUUUCACUUAGUGGCGAACGGGUGAGUAACGCGUGAGAAACCUGCCUUUCAGUGGGGGACAACAGUUGGAAACGACUGCUAAUACCGCAUAACGUAUAUUGGGGGCAUCCCUGAUAUACCAAAGCUUUAUGUGCUGAAAGAUGGUCUCGCGUCUGAUUAGCUAGAUGGCGGGGUAACGGCCCACCAUGGCGACGAUCAGUAGCCGGUCUGAGAGGAUGAACGGCCACAUUGGGACUGAGAUACGGCCCAGACUCCUACGGGAGGCAGCAGUGGGGAAUAUUGGGCAAUGGGGGAAACCCUGACCCAGCAACGCCGCGUGAAGGAAGAAGGCCUUCGGGUUGUAAACUUCUUUGUCAGGGAAGAGUAGAAGACUGUACCUGGCGAAUAAGCCACGGCUAACUACGUG